GGGGGAUAUUGCGCAAUGGGGGAAACCCUGACGCAGCAAUGCCGCGUGAAGGAAGAAGGUCUUCGGAUUGUAAACUUUUGUCUUUGGUGACGAAGAAUGACGGUAGCCAAGGAGGAAGCUCCGGCUAACUACGUGCCAGCAGCCGCGGUAAUACGUAGGGAGCGAGCGUUGUCCGGAUUUACUGGGUGUAAAGGGCGCGUAGGCGGGCCUGCAAGUCAGAUGUGAAAUACCGGGGCUUAACCCCGGGGCUGCAUUUGAAACUGUGGGUCUUGAGUGCGGGAGAGGAAAGCGGAAUUCCUAGUGUAGCGGUGAAAUGCGUAGAUAUUAGGAGGAACACCGGUGGCGAAGGCGGCUUUCUGGACCGUAACUGACGCUGAGGCGCGAAAGUGUGGGGAGCAAACAGGAUUAGAUACCCUGGUAGUCCACACCGUAAACGAUGGAUACUAGGUGUAGGGGGUAUCGACCCCCCCUGUGCCGCAGCUAACGCAAUAAGUAUCCCACCUGGGGAGUACGGCCGCAAGGCUGAAACUCAAAGGAAUUGACGGGGACCCGCACAAGCAGUGGAGUAUGUGGUUUAAUUCGAAGCAACGCGAAGAACCUUACCAGGGCUUGACAUCCCAAGAAUCCUGUAGAGAUACGGGAGUGCCUUCGGGAACUUGGAGACAGGUGGUGCAUGGUUGUCGUCAGCUCGUGUCGUGAGAUGUUGGGUUAAGUCCCGCAACGAGCGCAACCCUUGCUAUUAGUUGCUACGCAAGAGCACUCUAAUAGGACUGCCGUUGACAAAACGGAGGAAGGUGGGGACGACGUCAAAUCAUCAUGCCCCUUAUGACCUGGGCUACACACGUACUACAAUGGAUGUUAACAGAGGGAAGCAAGACAGCGAUGUGGAGCAAACCCCUAAAAACAUUCUCAGUUCAGAUUGCAGGCUGCAACCCGCCUGCAUGAAGAUGGAAUUGCUAGUAAUCGCGGAUCAGCAUGCCGCGGUGAAUACGUUCCCG
RNAcentral lists this ribosomal RNA (998 nucleotides) under uncultured organism. RNAcentral's name for it is "bacterial SSU rRNA". It matches the Rfam family "Bacterial small subunit ribosomal RNA", at positions 356 to 1376 of the family's 1533-position model. The record is from RNAcentral.